This 464-nucleotide ribosomal RNA is filed under the name Pseudomonas sp. 2S2.C5. Its description in RNAcentral is "bacterial SSU rRNA". It matches the Rfam family "Bacterial small subunit ribosomal RNA", at positions 49 to 508 of the family's 1533-position model. The record is from RNAcentral. Lineage: Bacteria; Pseudomonadati; Pseudomonadota; Gammaproteobacteria; Pseudomonadales; Pseudomonadaceae.
UAACACAUGCAAGUCGAGCGGUAGAGAGAAGCUUGCUUCUCUUGAGAGCGGCGGACGGGUGAGUAAUGCCUAGGAAUCUGCCUGGUAGUGGGGGAUAACGCUCGGAAACGGACGCUAAUACCGCAUACGUCCUACGGGAGAAAGCAGGGGACCUUCGGGCCUUGCGCUAUCAGAUGAGCCUAGGUCGGAUUAGCUAGUUGGUGAGGUAAUGGCUCACCAAGGCGACGAUCCGUAACUGGUCUGAGAGGAUGAUCAGUCACACUGGAACUGAGACACGGUCCAGACUCCUACGGGAGGCAGCAGUGGGGAAUAUUGGACAAUGGGCGAAAGCCUGAUCCAGCCAUGCCGCGUGUGUGAAGAAGGUCUUCGGAUUGUAAAGCACUUUAAGUUGGGAGGAAGGGCAGUAAAUUAAUACUUUGCUGUUUUGACGUUACCGACAGAAUAAGCACCGGCUAACUCUGUGC